RNAcentral lists this ribosomal RNA (497 nucleotides) under uncultured bacterium. RNAcentral's name for it is "partial 16S ribosomal RNA". It matches the Rfam family "Bacterial small subunit ribosomal RNA", at positions 28 to 507 of the family's 1533-position model. The record is from RNAcentral.
GACGAACGCUGGCGGCGUGCCUAAUACAUGCAAGUAGAACGCUGAAGAGAGGAGCUUGCUCUUCUUGGAUGAGUUGCGAACGGGUGAGUAACGCGUAUGUAACCUGCCUUGUAGCGGGGGAUCACUAUUGGAAACGAUAGCUAAUACCGCAUAACAAUGUGUUACACAUGUCAUUUAUUUUAAAUGGGCAAUUGCUCCACUCCAAUAUGGACCUGCGUUGUAUUAGCUAGUAGGUGAGGUAAUGGCUCACCUAGGCGACGAUACAUAGCCGACCUGAGAGGGUGAUCGGCCACACUGGGACUGAGACACGGCCCAGACUCCUACGGGAGGCAGCAGUAGGGAAUCUUCGGCAAUGGGGGGAAGCCUGACCGAGCAACGCCGCGUGAGUGAAGAAGGUUUUCGGAUCGUAAAGCUCUGUUGUAAGUGAAGAACGGGUGUGAGAGUGGAAAGUUCACACUGUGACGGUAGCUUACCAGAAAGGGACGGCUAACUACGUG